This 492-nucleotide ribosomal RNA is filed under the name uncultured bacterium. Its description in RNAcentral is "partial 16S ribosomal RNA". It matches the Rfam family "Bacterial small subunit ribosomal RNA", at positions 29 to 507 of the family's 1533-position model. The record is from RNAcentral.
AGUGAACGCUGGCGGUAGGCCUAACACAUGCAAGUCGAACGGCAGCACAGUAAGAGCUUGCUCUUACGGGUGGCGAGUGGCGGACGGGUGAGGAAUACAUCGGAAUCUACUUUUUCGUGGGGGAUAACGUAGGGAAACUUACGCUAAUACCGCAUACGACCUACGGGUGAAAGCAGGGGAUCUUCGGACCUUGCGCGAUUGAAUGAGCCGAUGUCGGAUUAGCUAGUUGGCGGGGUAAAGGCCCACCAAGGCGACGAUCCGUAGCUGGUCUGAGAGGAUGAUCAGCCACACUGGAACUGAGACACGGUCCAGACUCCUACGGGAGGCAGCAGUGGGGAAUAUUGGACAAUGGGCGCAAGCCUGAUCCAGCCAUACCGCGUGAGUGAAGAAGGCCUUCGGGUUGUAAAGCCCUUUUGUUGGGAAAGAAAAGCAGCAGGUUAAUACCUCGCUGUUCUGACGGUACCCAAAGAGUAAGCACCGGCUAACUUCGUG